AUUGAACGCUGGCGGCAGGCUUAACACAUGCAAGUCGAGCGGUAGCACAGGGGAGCUUGCUCCCUGGGUGACGAGCGGCGGACGGGUGAGUAAUGUCUGGGAAACUGCCUGAUGGAGGGGGAUAACUACUGGAAACGGUAGCUAAUACCGCAUAACGUCGCAAGACCAAAGAGGGGGACCUUCGGGCCUCUUGCCGUCAGAUGUGCCCAGAUGGGAUUAGCUAGUAGGUGGGGUAAUGGCUCACCUAGGCGACGAUCCCUAGCUGGUCUGAGAGGAUGACCAGCCACACUGGAACUGAGACACGGUCCAGACUCCUACGGGAGGCAGCAGUGGGGAAUAUUGCGCAAUGGGCGCAAGCCUGAUGCAGCCAUGCCGCGUGUGUGAAGAAGGCCUUCGGGUUGUAAAGCACUUUCAGCGAGGAGGAAGGUGGUUAGCUUAAUACGUUCAUCAAUUGACGUUACUCGCAGAAGAAGCACCGGCUAACUCCGUG
RNAcentral lists this ribosomal RNA (490 nucleotides) under uncultured bacterium. Its description in RNAcentral is "partial 16S ribosomal RNA". It matches the Rfam family "Bacterial small subunit ribosomal RNA", at positions 30 to 507 of the family's 1533-position model. The record is from RNAcentral.